CUACAGGCUUAACACAUGCAAGUCGAGGGGCAGCAUGGUCUUAGCUUGCUAAGGCCGAUGGCGACCGGCGCACGGGUGAGUAACACGUAUCCAACCUGCCGUCUACUCUUGGACAGCCUUCUGAAAGGAAGAUUAAUACAAGAUGGCAUCAUGAGUCCGCAUGUUCACAUGAUUAAAGGUGUUCCGGUAGACGAUGGGGAUGCGUUCCAUUAGAUAGUAGGCGGGGUAACGGCCCACCUAGUCUUCGAUGGAUAGGGGUUCUGAGAGGAAGGUCCCCCACAUUGGAACUGAGACACGGUCCAAACUCCUACGGGAGGCAGCAGUGAGGAAUAUUGGUCAAUGGGCGAGAGCCUGAACCAGCCAAGUAGCGUGAAGGAUGACUGCCCUAUGGGUUGUAAACUUCUUUUAUAAAGGAAUAAAGUCGGGUAUGCAUACCCGUUUGCAUGUACUUUAUGAAUAAGGAUCGGCUAACUCCGUGCCAGCAGCCGCGGUAAUACGGAGGAUCCGAGCGUUAUCCGGAUUUAUUGGGUUUAAAGGGAGCGUAGAUGGAUGUUUAAGUCAGUUGUGAAAGUUUGCGGCUCAACCGUAAAAUUGCAGUUGAUACUGGAUAUCUUGAGUGCAGUUGAGGCAGGCGGAAUUCGUGGUGUAGCGGUGAAAUGCUUAGAUAUCACGAAGAACUCCGAUUGCGAAGGCAGCCUGCUAAGCUGCAACUGACAUUGAGGCUCGAAAGUGUGGGUAUCAAACAGGAUUAGAUACCCUGGUAGUCCACACGGUAAACGAUGAAUACUCGCUGCUUGCGAUAUACGGCAAGCGGCCAAGCGAAAGCGUUAAGUAUUCCACCUGGGGAGUACGCCGGCAACGGUGAAACUCAAAGGAUUGACGGGGGCCCGCACAAGCGGAGGAACAUGUGGUUUAAUUCGAUGAUACGCGAGGAACCUUACCCGGGCUUAAAUUGCAGAUGAAUUACGGUGAAAGCCGUAAGCCGCAAGGCAUCUGUGAAGGUGCUGCAUGGUUGUCGUCAGCUCGUGCCGUGAGGUGUCGGCUUAAGUGCCAUAACGAGCGCAACCCUUGUUGUCAGUUACUAACAGGUCAUGCUGAGGACUCUGACAAGACUGCCAUCGUAAGAUGUGAGGAAGGUGGGGAUGACGUCAAAUCAGCACGGCCCUUACGUCCGGGGCUACACACGUGUUACAAUGGGGGGUACAGAGGGCCGCUACCACGCGAGUGGAUGCCAAUCCCAAAAACCUCUCUCAGUUCGGACUGGAGUCUGCAACCCGACUCCACGAAGCUGGAUUCGAUAGUAAUCGUGCAUCAGCCACGGCGCGGUGAAUACGUUCCCGGGCCUUGUACACUCCGCCCGUCAAGCCAUGGGAGCCGGGGGUACCUGAAGUGCGUAUCCGCGAGGAGCGCCCUAGGGUAAAAUUGGUGACUGG
Molecule: ribosomal RNA, 1433 nt
Filed under: uncultured organism
Description: SSU rRNA
Rfam family: Bacterial small subunit ribosomal RNA
Source: RNAcentral